Molecule: long non-coding RNA, 1592 nt
Filed under: Mizuhopecten yessoensis (Yesso scallop)
Lineage: Eukaryota; Metazoa; Mollusca; Bivalvia; Pectinida; Pectinidae
Description: uncharacterized LOC110446960
Source: RNAcentral
AGACCAAUGAGUAUGGAACAACCACCAAUGACAGAUCAAAAAGUAUGGAAAAAAACACCAAUGACCGACCAAAGUGUAUGGAACAACUACCAUUGACAGACUAGGGUAUGGAACCAGAAAAUAACAAAUCACAGCUGAAAUAAUGAAACGGGCCAGAGCACAGGACCACUAUUGACAGACCAAAGUAUGGUAUAACCAAUACUUAAAGGCCCCAAAAAAUGGAAGCAACACAACAGAAAACAAAGCAAUCAGAAGACCAAAUCACAAACUGUAAAACAUAAGGUGAAACAACCAAUCAAAACCGGCCACUGAGGACGAAAACACAACAUUCAGCAGAGCGCUAUGAAUAAGACAACCACAGACAAUAGUCCACAGCGGAUGGAACCACAACCCAGGCCACGACUACAGAGAAUUGGGACUACAAGUAACGAUAGAUUACAGAGGCUAUGGCAACCAUUCAUGGCUGAUAAAGGAAUAGAACACCCAGUAACUACAGAAGGAAUUCUUUACCAGAGUCUAGUUUAUGUGUCGAUAGCACCGAUUCCUUACAAAACAGCUAAUAGGAUGCAGAAAUGCUGUACAACAGACUAUAAUACAUGGCCACACAGGACAGACCAAAGGAUAUGGAACAGACCAGAGGAUGGAUAGAGCAUAGCUGAAAUAAUGAAACAAAACACAGGACCACUAAUGCUGACCAAAGUAUGGUAUAACCACUAGCAUCAGACCAGAGGAGGAGACAGCAAUACUAAAAUGCCCACAAAAGAUGGAAGCAACAACGACGACAGAAAGCAAAGCAAUCAGAAGAUGGCACCACAAUGUAAGACGGACCAGAGCAUAUGGCGACCUAGGACAGACCAAAUAGCAUGGAACAAGUACCAAAUACAGACCAGAAGAUGGCACCACAAUGUAUGGUAUAACCACUAGCAUCGGAUCAGAGGAGGAGACAGCAAUACGAUGACAGAAAGCAAGGAAAGCAAUUAGAAGAUGGAACCACUUAUAGGACAAACCAGAGCAUAUGACGACGUAGGACCAAAUAGUAUGCAACAAGCACAAAAUACAGACCAGAAGAUAUACCAAACUCUACAAAUGCCAAACACAACACAAAACACGGAAAGCAAAAUUAAUAGAACACGGCCUUCGUCACAUAACUCCAGAAGAUGGAACCAAAACGUAAGAUGAACCAAAACAAAGAGCCCCGAGUGAUAGAACAAAGAGUAUGGUACAACCACCAGCAACAGACAACGGCGGACAGAACCACAACUUAUGGCAACCCAUAAUGGAUGUGAAACACAGCAAAGUAUCGCAAGGCACUCCAUUGUACCACCCCCAACGGACAUGACAACGAUGUGUAUCCUGUAUUCCCGGUAUCUACAAAAUCUCCACUUGUGCACAAGCAGGCUGCUGAAAAAUAUCUGUAAAUUUGAACCUGUAACCUGGGACGGAUUGGUAUAUGGAGGUGUUCACUUUGACCUGAAGACAUUUGAUCCUGAAGUUACAAAACUAUGUGUUUUUGUUAGGAUCUUAUCUAAAUAUUGUCAGUCAUUUGAUGAAGGGCUAUGCAUAGAAAAAAAGGUUUUAAAGAAAUAAUUCAA